CAAUAGCGUAUAUUAAAGUUGUUGCAGUUAAAAAGCUCGUAGUUGGAUUUGUGGCGUACGGUGUGUUCCGGGCACUUGUUGUCUGAGUAACCUGCUGUUGCCAUCCUUGGGUGGAACCUGUGUGGCAUUAGGUUGUCGUGCAGGGGAUGCCCAUCAUUUACUGUGAAAAAAUUAGAGUGUUCAAAGCAGGCUUAUGCCGUUGAAUAUAUUAGCAUGGAAUAAUGAGAUAGGACUUUUUUGCUAUUUGUUGGUUUGCGCAAAGAGGUAAUGAUUAAUAGGGACAGUUGGGGGUAUUCGUAUUCCAUUGUCAGAGGUGAAAUUCUUGGAUUUUUGGAAGACGAACUACUGCGAAAGCAUUUACCAAGGAUGUUUUCAUUAA
Molecule: ribosomal RNA, 379 nt
Filed under: uncultured eukaryote
Lineage: Eukaryota
Description: partial 18S ribosomal RNA
Rfam family: Eukaryotic small subunit ribosomal RNA
Source: RNAcentral